This 489-nucleotide ribosomal RNA is filed under the name uncultured bacterium. RNAcentral describes it as "partial 16S ribosomal RNA". It matches the Rfam family "Bacterial small subunit ribosomal RNA", at positions 28 to 507 of the family's 1533-position model. The record is from RNAcentral.
GAUGAACGCUAGCGGCAGGCUUAAUACAUGCAAGUCGUGGGGCAGCAGGACUGUAGCAAUACAGUUGCUGGCGACAGGCAAAAGGGUGCGGAACACGUACGCAACUUACCCUGAACUGAGGGAUAGCACGCGGAAACUCAGACCAAUACCUCUGAAUAUAGUGCAGUGGCAUCACUUUAUUAUUAAAGGUCCGGCGGUACAGGAUGGGCGUGCGGUUGAUUAGGUAGUUGGUAGAGGUAAAGGCUUACCAAGCCUACGAUCAGUAACUGGUGUGAGAGCAGGACCGGUCACGCGGGCACUGAGACACGAGCGCGACGCCUACGGGAGGCAGCAGUAACGAAUAGUGGGCGAUGGAGGCAACUCUGACCCAGCCAUGCCGCGUGGAGAAUGAAGGCCCGCGGGGUUGUAAGCUUCUUUGAUAGGGGACUAAACCUGGGUAUUCUUACGCAGUUGACGGUACCCUAGGAAUAAGCACCGGCUAACUCCGUG